This 253-nucleotide ribosomal RNA is filed under the name uncultured bacterium. RNAcentral's name for it is "partial 16S ribosomal RNA". It matches the Rfam family "Bacterial small subunit ribosomal RNA", at positions 524 to 776 of the family's 1533-position model. The record is from RNAcentral.
UACGGAGGGAGCUAGCGUUGUUCGGAAUUACUGGGCGUAAAGCGCACGUAGGCGGCUUUGUAAGUUAGAGGUGAAAGCCCGGGGCUCAACUCCGGAACUGCCUUUAAGACUGCAUCGCUUGAAUCCAGGAGAGGUGAGUGGAAUUCCGAGUGUAGAGGUGAAAUUCGUAGAUAUUCGGAAGAACACCAGUGGCGAAGGCGGCUCACUGGACUGGUAUUGACGCUGAGGCGCGAAGGCGUGGGGAGCGAACGGG